UCGUGAGGUAGGGGUGAAAGUAGCAUGGAUAAUAUCUAUCCGAUCCAUUUUCGUAUCUGAAUUAAUUCAGAUAUUAAUAGAAAUUUGAGGAUCCAAUUAAUAUUCGUAUCUGUAUCCAUAUUCGUUAAAAAAAAUAGAUAUAAAUAUAGAUAGACAAUUAUCUGAUCCGUAUCCGAAUAUCCGAAUCUAUCUAUAACUCUAUAUUAUUUUAUAUAGUAUUU
This 221-nucleotide long non-coding RNA is filed under the name Elaeis guineensis (African oil palm). RNAcentral's name for it is "long non-coding RNA (EGUI_LNC005313)". Lineage: Eukaryota; Viridiplantae; Streptophyta; Magnoliopsida; Arecales; Arecaceae. The record is from RNAcentral.